This 368-nucleotide ribosomal RNA is filed under the name uncultured organism. Its description in RNAcentral is "bacterial SSU rRNA". It matches the Rfam family "Bacterial small subunit ribosomal RNA", at positions 526 to 896 of the family's 1533-position model. The record is from RNAcentral.
CGGAGGAUCCAAGUGUUAUCCGGAUUCAUUGGGUUUAAAGGGUGCGUAGGCGGAACGAUAAGUCAGUGGUGAAAGCCUGCAGCUUAACUGCAGAACUGCCAUUGAUACUGUCGAUCUUGAGUACAUUUGACGAGGGCGGAAUGUGUCAUGUAGCGGUGAAAUGCUUAGAUAUGACACAGAACACCGAUUGCGAAGGCAGCUCUCGAAACUGUAACUGACGCUGAGGCACGAAAGCGUGGGUAUCAAACAGGAUUAGAUACCCUGGUAGUCCACGCUGUAAACUAUGAUCACUCGAUGUUUGCGAUAUACUGUAAGCGUCUAAGCGAAAGCGAUAAGUGAUCCACCUGGGGAGUACGCCGGCAACGGUG